This 386-nucleotide ribosomal RNA is filed under the name uncultured Pseudomonas sp. RNAcentral describes it as "bacterial SSU rRNA". It matches the Rfam family "Bacterial small subunit ribosomal RNA", at positions 1000 to 1382 of the family's 1533-position model. Lineage: Bacteria; Pseudomonadati; Pseudomonadota; Gammaproteobacteria; Pseudomonadales; Pseudomonadaceae. The record is from RNAcentral.
CCAGAGAUGGAUUGGUGCCUUCGGGAACUCUGACACAGGUGCUGCAUGGCUGUCGUCAGCUCGUGUCGUGAGAUGUUGGGUUAAGUCCCGUAACGAGCGCAACCCUUGUCCUUAGUUACCAGCACGGUUAUGGUGGGCACUCUAAGGAGGACUGCCGGUGACAAACCGGAGGAAGGUGGGGAGUGACGUCAAGUCAUCAUGGCCCUUACGGCCUGGGCUACACACGUGCUACAAUGGUCGGUACAAAGGGUUGCCAAGCCGCGAGGUGGAGCUAAUCCCAUAAAACCGAUCGUAGUCCGGAUCGCAGUCUGCAACUCGACUGCGUGAAGUCGGAAUCGCUAGUAAUCGUGAAUCAGAAUGUCACGGUGAAUACGUUCCCGGGCCUU